GACGAACGCUGGCUACAGGCUUAACACAUGCAAGUCGAGGGGAAACGAUAGAGAAAGCUUGCUUUUUCUAGGCGUCGACCGGCGCACGGGUGAGUAACGCGUAUCCAACCUGCCCAUCACUUGGGGAUAACCUUGCGAAAGUAAGACUAAUACCCAAUGAUAUCUCUAGAAGACAUCUGAAAGAGAUUAAAGAUUUAUCGGUGAUGGAUGGGGAUGCGUCUGAUUAGCUUGUUGGCGGGGUAACGGCCCACCAAGGCGACGAUCAGUAGGGGUUCUGAGAGGAAGGUCCCCCACAUUGGAACUGAGACACGGUCCAAACUCCUACGGGAGGCAGCAGUGAGGAAUAUUGGUCAAUGGACGAGAGUCUGAACCAGCCAAGUAGCGUGCAGGAUGACGGCCCUAUGGGUUGUAAACUGCUUUUAUAAGGGAAUAAAGUGAGUCUCGUGAGACUUUUUGCAUGUACCUUAUGAAUAAGGACCGGCUAAUUCCGUGCCAGCCGCCGCAGUAA
RNAcentral lists this ribosomal RNA (508 nucleotides) under uncultured bacterium. RNAcentral describes it as "partial 16S ribosomal RNA". It matches the Rfam family "Bacterial small subunit ribosomal RNA", at positions 28 to 523 of the family's 1533-position model. The record is from RNAcentral.